UACGUAGGGUGCAAGCGUUGUCCGGAAUUAUUGGGCGUAAAGAGCUCGUAGGCGGUUUGUCGCGUCGACUGUGAAAACCCGAGGCUUAACCUCGGGCCUGCAGUCGAUGCGGGCAGACUAGAGUUCGGUAGGGGAGACUGGAAUUCCUGGUGUAGCGGUGAAAUGCGCAGAUAUCAGGAGGAACACCGGUGGCGAAGGCGGGUCUCUGGGCCGAUACUGACGCUGAGGUGCGAAAGCGUGGGGAGCAAACAGG
RNAcentral lists this ribosomal RNA (253 nucleotides) under uncultured bacterium. RNAcentral's name for it is "partial 16S ribosomal RNA". It matches the Rfam family "Bacterial small subunit ribosomal RNA", at positions 524 to 776 of the family's 1533-position model. The record is from RNAcentral.